GGUGGGCAGUGGGAAGAAGGGAAGGGACCGCCCCGUGGUUGGGGGUGACUCCUGGCCUGACCUUCUCCUCGCCCCGCCCCCACACUCAAGGGGAGGAGUUAAAGCUCGGCGUCUGGGGAGAGGCUCCGGGAACUCCGUUUACAGCAACUCCACCAUUUUGCAGGUAGAAGACAUGGAGAAGGACCGGGUGAGAGACAAUGGGACAAAUUGCUGAGCACCACCCUGAGGAAGAAAAGCUAAUGGCAAUAUUCCAAAAGGGCUUCUAGGUGUAUCUUAGAACAGUGUCAGGAUCUAUACCUGGAGAUGCUACUGCUUGGAAUAUGCCCAAGACCAGCCAGUGGCGCCUGGGUGGCUCAGCUGGUUAAGCAACUGCCUUCGCCUCAGGUCAUGAUCCCAGAGUGCUGGGAUUGAGUCCUGCCUCGGGCUCCCAGCCCCAUGGAAGUCCCUGUGAUGAUCUCUCUAUUCCCACAGAAGUCUGAAUACCUCAAUGGAGAAGUCAGUCCUUAGAUUUCCAGAGCCACUUCUUCUUUACAAAAGGUCUAUAAAGUUUCUAGGCAGAACUCUGGCCUCCAAGUGAUCUUUCCUUCCCCUGCAAAGGCCCAGCCCAUAUCCCAUUCCUGUGGAGAACUGAAGCAUUUAUGGACAAAGAAGAUGUUACCUGAAGAAGUGUCAGCUCUGCCUUUCUCCUGGGGGCACUGGCAUUAUAAAAGGGGACUUUACAGACACUCUGUGCAGAUAUAUGUGGGAGGAAGAAGGAGAGUUUACAAAAACAAGUUGCAUUUGAAAUGAUUGUCAGGUUCCCUAAAAUUUUUUGAGGAAAUUCCGAGAA
Molecule: long non-coding RNA, 829 nt
Organism: Mustela lutreola (European mink)
Lineage: Eukaryota; Metazoa; Chordata; Mammalia; Carnivora; Mustelidae
Exons: 5
Source: RefSeq, a predicted model, not a curated record